This 397-nucleotide ribosomal RNA is filed under the name uncultured beta proteobacterium. RNAcentral's name for it is "bacterial SSU rRNA". It matches the Rfam family "Bacterial small subunit ribosomal RNA", at positions 114 to 507 of the family's 1533-position model. Lineage: Bacteria; Pseudomonadati; Pseudomonadota; Betaproteobacteria. The record is from RNAcentral.
UACAUCGGAACGCGUCCUGUAAUGGGGGAUAACCUGGCGAAAGCCAGGCUAAUACCGCAUACGUCCUGAGGGAGAAAGCGGGGGAUCGCAAGACCUCGCGUUAUAGGAGCGGCCGAUGUCGGAUUAGCUAGUUGGUGGGGUAAAGGCCUACCAAGGCGACGAUCUGUAGCGGGUCUGAGAGGACGGCCCGCCACACUGGGACUGAGACACGGCCCAGACUCCUACGGGAGGCAGCAGUGGGGAAUUUUGGACAAUGGGGGCAACCCUGAUCCAGCCAUUCCGCGUGAGUGAAGAAGGCCUUCGGGUUGUAAAGCUCUUUCGGCCGGGAAGAAAUCGUGCGGGCCAAUACCCUGUAUGGAUGACGGUACCGGAAGAAGAAGCACCGGCUAACUACGUG